Molecule: long non-coding RNA, 838 nt
Organism: Ipomoea nil (Japanese morning glory)
Lineage: Eukaryota; Viridiplantae; Streptophyta; Magnoliopsida; Solanales; Convolvulaceae
Exons: 4
Source: RefSeq, a predicted model, not a curated record
GAUGAGGACGAAGGGUCUAUACCCUUCUCCUUUCUCUGUCUGAACAGAUCUGAGAGCUUGAAGCUCUCUUCAAUACUCUACCGAUCUCUCUCUCAAGCCUAUACCUACAUCAUUUUCCUAUCAUUCUUUUGCCUUCAUCACUUGCUAUUAAACCAAUUUAGAGAUUUUUUCUAUAAUCGGGUCUAGAUUCCGAUGAUCCGUCUAUCACUACAUCGUCUCAAAUUUUUCAUUUCUGGACCAGAUCUGUGCUUUCAACCUCUUUUUGAGCUUGAAAUCUGGAUGUAUUGAAGCUAGUGUUCUCAUUCAAGGGCAAAAAUUGAUGAUUUUGAGGAAUUGGAGAGCAGACCAUAAUCCCAAAGCGAGCAUGUAGAAGACAAAUAAUGCAUUUCUAACAUCUAAGAGAUUAGGAAAACCAGCAGGGCAAUAAGAAGCAGUGGAGAGGCACAAUUAGAGUUGUAACAGUUUUGCAAGGUAAUCUGACAUUCCGUGAACCAAACGACCCCUUACUGCUCUAACGCGAAUUGCCCUGAGCUGGUGUUGAGGUUUGAUGUCUUUCACAAGUAUGAACAUUGAAGGCAUUGUGUUCAACAAAAUGUGAUUUCAAAUGCUCUGUUAGUAAACAAAUCUUCGGAAGGAAUAAUUUGCACCAAGAAGACGUUUAUUUAUAGAGUUUGAAGCGUUGCAAAUUUCAAAUGAAUGAACAGCAGCCUGUGUAUGGGAAAUACACAAUUUCUUUUUAUGUAUUAAAUGCAGAGUCAAACUCUGCGUAUUCUAUGUAUAAUUUGUAAUUUUUUUUUUAUCAUGUGAGCAUCUCUCUAUUCAAUCUUUGGUUAUCCGA